RNAcentral lists this long non-coding RNA (346 nucleotides) under Nicotiana benthamiana. RNAcentral describes it as "long non-coding RNA (NBEN_LNC042583)". The record is from RNAcentral. Lineage: Eukaryota; Viridiplantae; Streptophyta; Magnoliopsida; Solanales; Solanaceae.
UUUCAUCUUUUCCUUCAAACAAAAAACAACCAAACUUCUUACCAUGGCUACAACUAAUAACAAAAACCUCACAAUUACUGAAAAAGUUUAUGCUAGAGUUCGUCUUGCAAAUGAAGCUGAUAUUUCCCAUAUAUACAAACUCUUUUACCAAAUUCAUGAAUAUCACAAUUACACUCAUCUUUACAAAGCAACUGAAUCUUCACUUUGUGAUCUUCUUUUUAAAGCAAACCCUAAUCCUCUCUUCUAUGGACCCUCAAUACUAUUACUCGAAGUUUCGCCAACCUCUUUUGAAAAUACCAAAAAUGAUGAAAAAUUCAAGCCAGUUUUAAAAACAUUUGAUCUUAGA